GUUUUCCCUCGGAUUUGGGCCUUUGUAUUUUUAACAAAGAAAUCCAUGCAAAUCCAUUCAAAUACAUUAUGAAAUCAAAUCUAUUAAUAAAUCCGUAUGAUUGAAUAACACUUGAUUUGAAUUAGAAUUUAUAAAUCAUUAAACGAAUAACACAUGAUUUCAAUAUGUAUUUUAAAAUCAUAGAACCAAUAACACUAGAUUUAAUUUGAAUUUUCAAAUCCAUCAAAAUACACCAACCAAUAACCCCCACUUAAUAAGGUUUAAUUGUUCCGGAAAAACUUAAUAAAUGCUCUUUGGUUUGCAAAGAAAAAGAUGUUUACGGCAACGAGUGAUGGGCCCCCUUUGGUUAUGUUAUCAUAAUGUCAUAAGGUGUUCACAUCGUGCCAUAUGAAUUAUGAUCUAUCGCGACUUUUUCUUAGUCUUAGUCAGAGGCGGAGGUACGCUGGUCUUAGUGUUUUCUUGUUCGUUUGCAUGAAAAGGAUGAAGUAACUAUAUUAAGGUCCACUGUCUACCCUUGGUUAUGUUUGAGAAUUGGAAAUGGCCAAACCUGUCGGUUUUGGAGCGAUAAUUGGAGUCCGUUUGGUUGCAUCUCUGACUUCUUGAACCUUCCUCCAUCCUCUCGUCUGGGAAUCUCAAGAACCGCUACUCUGUCAGACCUGAAUGAGAAUGGAAAUUGGCUGCUUCAUGCAGCAAGAUCGGAGGAGCAAGUUCAGAUUCAAGUAUACUUAUCAAGAUACUUAUCAACUAUCUUUCUCUCGGAGGAGGAAGACCAGUAUGAGUGGAUAAUCGAUGGUUCAAGGAGCACUACUUUUUCGACAGGAGCAGUCUACAGAGAGCUUAAACAUCACAAUCCGGUGGUGAGUUGGAGCAAGACAGUAUGGUGUCCAAGGGGUACCCCUAAACACAGCUUCCUUGCGUGGCUGUUUGUCCUGAACCGCUGCCCCACUAGAGACCGCCUGCUAUCCUGGGGGCUUAAUACACUCUCUUCCUGCCUUCUCUGCAACUCCGCUGACAAAAGCCGUAAUCAUCUCUUUUUUUACUGUUGUUAUUUUGACAGAUCUGGAACAUAAUUGGAACUAGAUCAGUUCUUUAUGCAUCUCCUUUGUGGGACCAGACUCUCUCUGCUCUUCAACAUCUGUCGGGACCGAGACAUGCAAAACUCCUAGUUCUCUUCGCGUGGCAGUGCACCAUCUAUCUCAUCUGGUCAGAAAGGAACGCUCGGUUGCAUAUAAGCAUCUAUCAGCCUCCAGACUCAAUCAUCUCCUCCAUUGCAGCUUACAUCAAAACAAAAAUAGCGGCGAUCAUCUUCAAUCUUCCAAUUCUGGUAUCGGUGAUCUCUAUCUUUCUGACUUCCUACUGGAUCAAAAUAUUUCCCACUUGAGCUUUUCUAAAUUGUGGUUCAAUUAUAUGGAACUAUGGAUUUGUGUUUGUAUUAAUGGACAAGGUCCACGAAACUGUCCGCUGGACCGAAGUCUUUUGUAAUUUGCUUUAUGUUUUAAAUAGAAUGUCUUUUUUCAAAAAAAAAAAACUAUAUAAAUGAAGUUAUGAUCUUAGCGUCAUUAAUUCAGGAAAAAAGUUUUGCCGGUGGGUUUGCCAUAAUCCACUAUAUACGGUUCAAUUUUGAUGGUAAAUUUAAUAAACCAAUCAAAACCAAUGUGCUUACACAGAAAAGUUCUAUUUCUGCCGAGCAAGAACACAUAAGAAUUAUUCUUUUUACGAUAUAUGUUGUUUCUACUUCUUAUUGCGUUUCAACCGAUUAAUAUUUCUUAACUAAUAGUGUAAAUGACCAAAAAAUAUCACAAUACUAAAAGGGAGAUAAUCUCAACAGAUAGAUGGUCCACGUAGAUUAGAAAAAUUAUCCAAUAAGGACCUUUCUUUUUGACGUGUCAUAUAUGGCUGAAAUAUAGUGAAUUUUUGUAUGGGUUUUAUGAAAAUUAUCACUCUGACCCAUCCCAGCCCAUGUAGAGAACAGACGGAGAAACCUUUUAUCGUUUCACGCUUUCUCCUCCGACUCUUCCACUUCAUCUUCUCCCAUGUAUAGAUUUGUUUGCUUUGCCAAACUUUAUCAGUUCUAUCCACUUCCCCUUGAUCCUUCUCCUAUAUAAAUCUCUAUGUACAAACCUAAAUCCACCCAAAAUCAAAACCUACUCUGAAGAAGUUACAUCCAUCGACACUUUAGUCUAAACCUAUCUGCACGAUCUCUACUUCUACUCUGCGACCGUCAAAUUGAAAAUGCAAUUCCUCCGGUAAAAGCUCAGUCACGGUCGUAGUUCCGUCACCGCUGAAUCAUCAUCAUCCAGGUUCUUACCUUGUGACGUCUCUCACCUUUGUCGAUCCAUCGAGAAUCUACUGUAAAAAAAAUCAGUUCCCGUUGAUGGAGAGAUCGUGAAGAAGGUUGGUCAAUCUGUUUCCUGUAAUCAAAAAAGUGAUUGGUCUUCUGAAGAACUAUGCUUUUGUGUGCGUGUGCGAGGUAUAUAAUUCACUUACAAACUUUAUAUUACAUGGAUAAGAUUCCAGAUUUGGUGUUUGGGUUUAUAUGUGACAUUUGAACUUAUGUGUGAUUUUUAAGCACAACGAGUGUUUGGGAAUAGAUGGACUGAGAUACAAAGGUGGAUUCAGGCAGGUAGAAUACUGGCUCUAAUGGUGCUUCAAGUCAUGAUUGUAGGAUCAAUCAUUAAUGUUUUAUACUUCUCUAUGUUUGUAGAAAGGAUAAGGCUGUGAACAGGUUUACGAGACUUCGUGUGAAGAGAGCCAAGCAUGAAACUAUGGCUAGCGAGAACAACUCAAACAAUAAAAGAAUGUUCUUCUUAGAUGGUAGUUGUACUCCAGCGAAUAUGAAACUCUUAUUGCCAAUAGAACAAGGAUCUAGCUCCAUGUAAGGUCUGAUUCUUUUCCCUUUCUAUGCUCCAAAGUUGUGAUCAAGCAUUUCUCUGACUUGAAAUCUGUGUUUAGUUCUUCUCUUCCAGGAUAGCUGCCUUACAUUACACGUUAUGUCUCCACAGUGAGUUAUUUAUGAGCAUCACAAGGUGGAAACUUUCCUCACUCCCUCAUGAGUGACUGGAGGACAAUCUAAAACUAUUAGUCUGGACAAGCGAAAGUUAACAAUCCUCUUUGACAACCCCAACAUCUGGUACUCACUUAUACUACAUCUUCAAGUUCCCCGUUUAAACUUCAAGAUAAAUUUUUUUUUUAUUGUUCUGUUUCUAUUGACCAUAGAAAAUGGAAGGAAAAAGCCUUUUGCUGGAUCCUUUUUAUGCAGAAGGAAUCGUCCGUCAGAAAAUGGAUCGAAACGGUGGCUAUUGAUGCAGCCAAAGACAUGGUACUGUCAAAGGAACAAUGGAUGUUAAAGAACUUGUGCUUUUACUGGCCAAAAACUCAAUGAACCAUCAAUCUCUUCUUCUGGUCAAAGACUGUGCCACCCCUCCCGCCUUAAAGAAAGAAGUCUCGGCUGCAGGAGAAAGAGACAAAGAAGGAAGGGAAGUUGGAGAGAAGAAAACAGAGGGUGGCUAGAAGAAGAAAGAAGUUGUUGACGGCAGAGAAGAGAGAAAACGAAAGAUGUUGGAGCUGGCAGGAAGAAGAAGAAAGAAGCCAGGCGUGGUGAGAAGAAGUGGGGUCAAAUCAUUGUCACACGUAAGAUUAUAAGUUCAUACAAGUAUAUGCAUUGUCUUAAAUUUUUCUGACGGACAUCUCUAUAACUAUAAUUUUCAACUACUACCAAAAUAAAACUUGGAAGGAACGAGAAAUAUUGUAUACACUCUAAUCUAAUAAAGUUAUAACUAUUAUUCUUAAUCUUUAAUUAUGCUAAACUCUUUUUACAUGCAAUUAUAAAAUAUAUGUACUUUCUCUUAAUUUAUGUUUUUCUUAUUGAGUACUCUUUCUUAUUUAGGUUCCAUGAAGAAUUUAAAAGAAAAUAGUAGAAUUCAUCUGUUUAAUUUUUUUCCUUCAACAUGAUUACCAAUUAAAACAAUAAAUUGUACAAAACAAUCAACCACCAUUUUUAUUAUUUAGUUUUCUUAGCUAAACAAUUAAAUAUGAUCUCCGUAAUAUGCUUUGUUUCAUGGCUUCCCUUCUUGAACGAUAUUCUCAGUACGGAGACUGCAAGCAAGGGUAUGUCUCAGUUUUUUUGCCUGCAACGUCCUUAGAUCUCUUAAUCCCAGUCAGCUCCAAAAUCAUAUCUUAAUCCAGUCACUGGAGUUAUUAUAACAAAGAAUCAUUAAAACUGCAAACCAACAUAAGAAAAAAGACUAAGCGUCAUUGUUGGUUUAAUAUGAUUUAAAUAUCAAGUUUUGGUAAUGGUUCGUUUAAAAAUUUUGUUCUUUAGUUUGGUCUGGUUUGGACAAUGAUAUUAUUUUACGUUUGGAUCAAUUUUUUUGAUUCAAUUUAUUUAUAUUAAGAAACUGUUCAAUUUGGUAUUAGAACUCAAUGAUUAUAUAGUGAAACAAAGUUUAAAUCAGUUGUAAAUAUUACAAUUGUUUUAUGCAAAAAAAAACAAAAUGUAUUUAAAUGAUAACCAUAUUUUGUUAGAUUUUACUCAUCUUACUUAUUAUCCUAUAUAUAUGAUUUUAAAUUUGUUAUAUACAAGACAAUGAAUACGUACAUACAACCAAAUUUUAUUUAUUUUUUUAUGAAUUUAACGUUAUAGUCGAUUGUAAUAUAUAUACACGGCUUAUGUUCAUAAAUAUAAACCUUUUUAAGUUAACUUAAAAUUAUACGAAUAUUCCGGGCGUAGCCCGGAAAAAUCCAUAGUAUUUUUAAUUGUUAAGCGUUUCCUUCUCUGGAUUUACACACAAAUAUUAAUACGUCACUAACAUGGCAGCAUCUAAACACCAUAAAUAGUGAAAUUUGUAUUAAAUAUUAAAUAUUUGGCAUUAUACAUUUCUGAUGGUGGAUCAUAUAUUGAAAAUUAUAAUAUUUGAAACGUCAUAGUUGGUUACAUGUAUUUAAAUCUUCAUGAAAAUUUGCAAGAAAAAAGAUAGUGAAAAGUCUUUGAGAAGUAUCAUCAAGGAGCACGCAUGCAUCUUGAACAGAAGUCAUGCAUAGUGUCGUCAAUAUGAUGUUUUACAUUUCUUGUCCUAUCAAUAUUUAAUAUUGUGUCAAAUUCAUAUUCAGAUACUUACAUUUAUACUUAUUUUAUACAAAUUCCAUCUGUAUAUUAUAUAUCCUUAAACUAUGCAUAAAUUCUAAUUGUCUGAUGUAUGCGUUUGCUAAAAUUUGUUGACACGAGACUUGUAUUAAGCUAUCUACUAUAUUUUACUAAUGAUUCAGGUUGAAUGAGAAAUGAAUGUAGAAGCUGUAACUUAACGGCACCAGAGUUCUUUAUUCCACCAACCAAGUUUGACUAUAAAAACACCAACUUGCAAGUAAUAUAUACAUAAUACAUGAUCCCUGCUUUUAUAUAACCGCAUGAUAUAAAGGAUACAAGAACUUCACUGGAAAUGACAUGUCAUUAUAUAUAUUGGUCACCAUGUUUUGUUUAUUAUUUAAAAAAUUCCAUCUAUUUUCCUUGAUUUGUGUUUGUCAUUUCAAAACAGACUCCAAUGUUGAUUAUUAUCAACCAGAAGACUGAUAGACAUUUUUUAACUCCAAAUAAAGAAGAAAUAAUCGGUGAUAGUCACACAAACACAUCAUAUUGGGCCUAUAAAUUGGUGUAAUUCUAUACAUCCAAAUAAUCAACUGAGUAAGUUCAAAAUUCGUGUGGUUACGCUUCUUCCAUAACAGAAGUAGGGCUAGACGUGUCGGAGGAAGAGGAACCCCUUCUGCUCGAGCUCGCCUUAGAAUGGAUUCCUCGUCAAGUCUGUUUGGAGGGUGUGGACACACUUAAUUGUUUGUAUUUCAUUCAUUCCAUCGGUAUGCUUCCAGGUACAUGUAAUUGUGAUCUGUUUACCAGAACCAAGGGUUUCUUUGGAAACCUUUACGAACAAUCGUCGUUUUUUUAAUGGUUUUUUCGCUUCUCACAAGAAUCGAAACCAACCAAUUACCAAAUCCACCUAUUACCGCUAGCAUAACCAUGAAAAUCAUUAAAAAAGCAUGAGCUGUUAUUAAAACAUUAUAAAGCGAGACUACACUUCUUUAAAAAGAAAAAAAUCGAUUUGCUCCCUUCGCACUCGUUUGUUUACCGCUUGCUCUCCUUAUUCCUGAUUAUACCGUUCGCAGGCAUUCCUGGUCAUUGAGCCGGUCACCGGUGGCUUCCUCACUUGUAAUGUGAAGCUGUUUUCCAUUUCUCAUUUUUGAGGAUAUCAAAAUUCUCUCUGGCAAAUACAACUAUUUUGAUCAUUUCUUCGCAUGUACCCGCAGUAGCAUUCAAAUAAUGCCUUUUGAUUUCACAUGUUUCAGUCUGUGCUUUAUAAAAUAUUACCUCUUUUUUUUUUUGAUCAACUGAAUAAUUCAUUAAUUAAAAAGGGGAUUAGUGUGAAAUUAGGCCCAACAGAAAGAGUUUGGUACAAAAAGAAGCCUUAGCAUAAGAAUUUGCAGGCCCAUUAAACGAUCUAGGAAUGAAAGAAGCUUGAAACGAAGAAAACGAAGAAGAUAGGAUGAGCGAUUCAAUGUCAGCUAGAACUCCAUCGUUGUCUCGCGCUGAUAGACUGGAUGAGUCCUUUGCAAUCUGAUCGUAGCCAGAUGUAAUCAAAGUUGAGUGAAGUAGCAUGCUCAAUGGCUGCUCUAAACGCUAGGGCUUCCGCCAUAAGCGGGGAGGAAACAUGAUCCGACAUGAUGCAACAUGAAGCAGUGAAUGCUGAUGUGAGCUCACGUGGCGUCCAUUUAAUUUAAGUGGAACCGACUCUUAGUGCUUUCAUAGGGUUAUUAUUGGGACCCAUCUAUGAUUCUUAAAAGAGUGGGCUCCUUCUUCUGACAGUAACAAAGAGAUUAGAUUCUGCUCUCACGGACGGUCACGAUGAUAUGAUGGAUUGUGUUGACGAGCCAUGACACGACUCGUGAUGCUUCAUUAGUUCUCUAAUGUGCAUUCACACUAUUAUAGUCAAAUUGAUGAUUAUCAAGCUUUGCAAAGAAACACUGCUUAAAGCCAUUCAUGAUUUCUUGUCCCUAAUCUAUGAUUGGUAAUUCAAUUAGAUUGUUAAUUGGUUACAUCAAAUUAUCUAGUGGAAAACACUGUAACCAAAUCCAUACAAAUAGUAUAGAGUUUUAGGUGGAUGUGCAGUGUAUAUAUUUUACACGGUUAAGUCCCCUCUAUAGUGGUUUCAAAAAGUUGAUGGAGUCAAUGUGUUUUUAAUUCACCAUUUCUUAAUCUCAUUCCAACACAAAUCGGAAUUCAAAAAAAAAAAAAUAUAUAUAUAUAUAUUCAAACGGAUCAAAAAUGUAGGUUAUUAUACAUUAUAACUCUCAUAUUCCAAGAGUGAGACAUAUGGAAUUACAAAGGCCAAUAAUCGUCACUCAAGUCUACAUGAAUCUGCUUUGUUUGCUGA
Long non-coding RNA from Brassica rapa (field mustard), 7418 nucleotides. RefSeq lists it as uncharacterized. The record is from RefSeq and is a predicted model, not a curated record. NCBI's taxonomy places the organism in Eukaryota, Viridiplantae, Streptophyta, Magnoliopsida, Brassicales, Brassicaceae.